CAUUGUCGAAACCUGCACAAACGCAGAAAGACCCGCGAACAUGUUUAUUAACUACCUCAGGGUUUGGGGAUCGUGAGAGCGUUCCCCAACUCCGAGUGUCGGGGGGGAGACUCCCCGACAUCACAACGAACCCCGGCGCGGAAAGCGCCAAGGAAAACAAACUAGAUUGGGAAGCCGCGUUCGCGCGACCUCCUUAGAAUCGAAUCAAAACGACUCUCGGCAACGGAUAUCUCGGCUCUCGCAUCGAUGAAGAACGUAGCGAAAUGCGAUACUUGGUGUGAAUUGCAGAAUCCCGUGAACCAUCGAGUCUUUGAACGCAAGUUGCGCCCGAAGCUUUCGGGCUGAGGGCACGUCUGCCUGGGUGUCACGCAACGUCGCCCCCACCCCAUCCAUAAUGGGAGGGUGCGUAUGAUGGCCUCCCGUGAGCUACCAUUUGCGGUUGGCCUAAACACGAGUCCUCGGCGCGUUGUGCGCCACGGCCGGCGGUGGUCGAACAUAUGUGAAGCCCUGACGGAAGCCGUGUGCCUACUCCGACCAUAAAGAGGUACUCAAGACCCUAACGCACGUCGAUGACGAUUGCCUACGACGCGACCCCAGGUCAGGCGGGACCACCCGCUGAGUUUAAGCAUAUCAAUAAGCGGAGGA
RNAcentral lists this ribosomal RNA (645 nucleotides) under Zygophyllum kansuense. RNAcentral describes it as "eukaryotic LSU rRNA". The stretch from base 212 to 367 matches the Rfam family "5.8S ribosomal RNA". Lineage: Eukaryota; Viridiplantae; Streptophyta; Magnoliopsida; Zygophyllales; Zygophyllaceae. The record is from RNAcentral.